UACGGGGGGGGCAAGCGUUGUUCGGAAUUACUGGGCGUAAAGGGCUCGUAGGCGGCCAACUAAGUCGGAUGUGAAAUCCCCAGGCUCAACUUGGGAACUGCAUCCGAUACUGGAUGGCUUGAAUCCGGGAGAGGGAUGCAGAAUUCCAGGUGUAGCGGUGAAAUGCGUAGAUAUCUGGAGGAAUACCGGUGGCGAAGGCGGCAUCCUGGACCGGCAUUGACGCUGAGGCGCGAAAGCGUGGGGAGCGAACAGG
This 253-nucleotide ribosomal RNA is filed under the name uncultured bacterium. Its description in RNAcentral is "partial 16S ribosomal RNA". It matches the Rfam family "Bacterial small subunit ribosomal RNA", at positions 524 to 776 of the family's 1533-position model. The record is from RNAcentral.